Molecule: ribosomal RNA, 253 nt
Filed under: uncultured bacterium
Lineage: Bacteria
Description: partial 16S ribosomal RNA
Rfam family: Bacterial small subunit ribosomal RNA
Source: RNAcentral
GACGAACCGUGCGAACGUUAUUCGGAAUCAUUGGGCGUAAAGAGCUUGUAGGCGGCGUCAUAAGUUGGACGUGAAAACUCCGGGCUUAACUUGGAGAGGCCGUUCAAUACUGUGAGGCUAGAGGGUGUCAGAGGGAAGUAGAAUUCCUGGUGUAGCAGUGAAAUGCGUAGAUAUCAGGAGGAAUACCCGUGGCGAAGGCGGCUUCCUGGGGCACCACUGACGCUGAGAAGCGAAAGCUAGGGGAGCAAACGGG